AUGAGGUUCUCUCUCUAUAUAAGCAUUUUCCUGCCAUGGUCCACACUUAGUUCUCUAUGCCUAUUCGUGUGCUUUCGUGUUGACUCUGCUGGAAAGUAUAUCUCCAAGAUGUUGCAUCGUGUCCUUGUUAAGCAGGGUACUCUUAUUCAGUUCUCUUUUCGUGGUGCUCACACUCAGAAUGGUGUGGUUGAGCGCAAGCAUCAUCAUCUUCUUGAGAGAGCUCGACCGUCACCUCUCUUCCGCCUCACUUUUGGGCUGAGGUUGUUUCCACUACCACCUAUCUCAUCAACAUUCAACCCUCAACUGCUCAAUAGGGUGGCAUUCCUUUCGAGCGUCUUUUUGAUAGUUCUCCUGAUUAUUCGACGCAUCAUUUGUUUGGUUGUGUUUGCUAUAUUGUUGCCCCGCAUGAACGCACCAAACUGA
This 423-nucleotide ribosomal RNA is filed under the name Triticum aestivum (bread wheat). Its description in RNAcentral is "partial small subunit ribosomal RNA". Lineage: Eukaryota; Viridiplantae; Streptophyta; Magnoliopsida; Poales; Poaceae. The record is from RNAcentral.